UGGGGAAUAUUGCACAAUGGGCGCAAGCCUGAUGCAGCCAUGCCGCGUGUGUGAAGAAGGCCUUCGGGUUGUAAAGCACUUUCAGCGGGGAGGAAGGCGAUAAGGUUAAUAACCUUGUCGAUUGACGUUACCCGCAGAAGAAGCACCGGCUAACUCCGUGCCAGCAGCCGCGGUAAUACGGAGGGUGCAAGCGUUAAUCGGAAUUACUGGGCGUAAAGCGCACGCAGGCGGUCUGUCAAGUCGGAUGUGAAAUCCCCGGGCUCAACCUGGGAACUGCAUUCGAAACUGGCAGGCUAGAGUCGUGUAGAGGGGGGUAGAAUUCCAGGUGUAGCGGUGAAAUGCGUAGAGAGCUGGAGGAAUACCGGUGGCGAAGGCGGCCCCCUGGACAAAGACUGACGCUCAGGUGCGAAAGCGUGGGGAGCAAACAGG
Molecule: ribosomal RNA, 429 nt
Filed under: Chloroflexota bacterium
Lineage: Bacteria; Bacillati; Chloroflexota
Description: Chloroflexi bacterium partial 16S ribosomal RNA
Rfam family: Bacterial small subunit ribosomal RNA
Source: RNAcentral